This 62-nucleotide transfer RNA is filed under the name Anaplecta sp. 4 ZQW-2020. Its description in RNAcentral is "tRNA-Glu". It matches the Rfam family "tRNA". Rfam says of the family: Transfer RNA (tRNA) molecules are approximately 80 nucleotides in length. The record is from RNAcentral. Lineage: Eukaryota; Metazoa; Arthropoda; Insecta; Blattodea; Anaplectidae.
AUUUAUAUAGUUUAAGAAAACAUUACAUUUUCAAUGUAAAAUUGAACUAAGUUCUAUAAAUA